Molecule: long non-coding RNA, 672 nt
Organism: Mytilus trossulus (common blue mussel)
Lineage: Eukaryota; Metazoa; Mollusca; Bivalvia; Mytilida; Mytilidae
Exons: 3
Source: RefSeq, a predicted model, not a curated record
UAUUGCAUGAUGAAAUUGACAUUGCAUAAAAUAUAGAAAUCAACGACAACAGAAGCCCGCAAUGAACGGUGUUUUAAUCUUUUGCUGACGACAACCUCCAACUCUACUAGGACCAGGAUUUUUUAAGGGAACAAGAAAUCUUCAUAGGGAUACAUAGUUUUCUAAAUGGAUCCACAUAACUCUGUGUCUCACCUGCAGUUGCUGCUGUUAGUGUUAAAGUCUGAUGUUGACUAUAAAAAUUUCAGCAACAAAAUGAAGAACUCCAAGAGUCUAAUACGGUUUAUUAAACAGGAUUUUACCAUUGAAUCAACAUCCUACAAGAAUAUAACAUACAAAUAAGUAAUUAUGUGCAGGGAAGAACAUUUAAACAAAACUGUAAGAGACAUACAGUGGUGUAUUUUUAAAGAGACCGGAAGAACCUGUAAUAACUUGCCAUGAGUGUAUAUUUUCCAAACCAGAAGCUCGUUCAUAAUAAUACUGUAUACAAUUUAAAUUAAAAGUGUUGUAUGAUCAUUACAGAUAUAGUCUCAAAAGAGAAAAUUUAGUUUUAAAUGAAACAUUUAAGUAAAAAACAUUGAAAUAGUCCUUUCCAUGUUGUGGGACAUGUAGAAAGUUUAUGCUUUCACCAUUCAUGUAGCUCCAUAUAGAGGAAUGGGUCCCUGUCCCCCUCUC